AUCAUACUUCCUCCGUCCAAUAAAAGAUGUCUCAACUUUUACUAAAUUUGAAUGCAUCUAUACACUAAGUCAUGUUUAGAUACAUCCAAAUCUUGACAAACUUGAGACGUAUUUUGUUGGAUGGAGGGAGUAAGUC
This is a non-coding RNA of Brachypodium distachyon (stiff brome), 136 nucleotides long. The record is from Rfam. Lineage: Eukaryota; Viridiplantae; Streptophyta; Magnoliopsida; Poales; Poaceae.